Non-coding RNA from Paramuricea clavata, 372 nucleotides. Lineage: Eukaryota; Metazoa; Cnidaria; Anthozoa; Malacalcyonacea; Plexauridae. The record is from the annotation of a GenBank genome assembly.
GUGACCUUGAAAAUCAGAAAGAAUUUAAUGAAAUUAUAAAAUGAAAUAAAACACAGAGAGAAAAACCUACGACAUAUCAUAAGCUCCAAUCUGUGAAUCCUCGACGCCCAAACCUGAGAGAUUAAAUAGAUCAGCUGCCAAACCUCUAGCCAGAUCAUCCUCUCGCCAAUUCGUGUUUGACAUUUUGACCAUGAAGACAAGCUAGGAUUUGAGAUCUAACAAUACACAGCAAUCCUACAAGCAAGAUUUCCUGGUUAAAAGAAGACGUAGUAUAAAUUUCUGUCUUGGUUCAAGCAGAACACCUGCACUAAUCUUGUUUUCCAUUGAACAAAACAAAAUAUCGCGAAAGAACCUCAUUCGUGAUUCCAAUUU